This 360-nucleotide unclassified non-coding RNA is filed under the name uncultured bacterium. RNAcentral describes it as "contains 16S-23S intergenic spacer region". The record is from RNAcentral.
UCCGUGUUAACCACGGCAGUCUCGUGUGAAAAUCAACACACGAUAAGGGUUGCGCUCGUUAACCCACUGAAGGGAACAUCUUACGACACGAGCUGACGGCAACCAUGCAGCACCUGUCCAGCGAUCUCGAAGCUCAUAGCGUUUCUGCCAUGAUACAGCUGGAUUUCUAAUCUAGGUAAGGUUCCUCGUUUAGCAUCGAAUUAAACCACACGCUCCACCGCUUGUGCGGGCCCCCGUCUAUUCCUUUGAGUUUUAGUCUUGCGACCGUACUACCCAGGCGGCAAACUUAACGCGUUAGCUUCGACACUGAAAGAGUCGAUUCUCCCAAUGCCUAGUUUGCAUCGUUUACGGCAUGGAUUA